Molecule: ribosomal RNA, 497 nt
Filed under: uncultured bacterium
Lineage: Bacteria
Description: partial 16S ribosomal RNA
Rfam family: Bacterial small subunit ribosomal RNA
Source: RNAcentral
GAUGAACGCUGGCGGCGUGCCUAAUACAUGCAAGUCGAGCGAACAGAUGAGGAGCUUGCUCCUCUGACGUUAGCGGCGGACGGGUGAGUAACACGUGGAUAACCUACCUAUAAGACUGGGAUAACUUCGGGAAACCGGAGCUAAUACCGGAUAAUAUAUUGAACCGCAUGGUUCAAUAGUGAAAGACGGUUUUGCUGUCACUUAUAGAUGGAUCCGCGCCGCAUUAGCUAGUUGGUAAGGUAACGGCUUACCAAGGCAACGAUGCGUAGCCGACCUGAGAGGGUGGUCGGCGACACUGGAACUGAGACACGGUCCAGACUCCUACGGGAGGCAGCAGUAGGGAAUCUUCCGCAAUGGGCGAAAGCCUGACGGAGCAACGCCGCGUGAGUGAUGAAGGUCUUCGGAUCGUAAAACUCUGUUAUUAGGGAAGAACAAAUGUGUAAGUAACUAUGCACGUCUUGACGGUACCUAAUCAGAAAGCCACGGCUAACUACGUG